Molecule: non-coding RNA, 29 nt
Filed under: Homo sapiens (human)
Lineage: Eukaryota; Metazoa; Chordata; Mammalia; Primates; Hominidae
Source: RNAcentral
UCUGGGUAGGUCUGGGAAAAGGGCUGUCU